This is a long non-coding RNA of Loxodonta africana (African savanna elephant), 949 nucleotides long. RefSeq lists it as uncharacterized. Lineage: Eukaryota; Metazoa; Chordata; Mammalia; Proboscidea; Elephantidae. The transcript is spliced from 3 exons. The record is from RefSeq and is a predicted model, not a curated record.
GACGUCAUAAGAAGUUGCGAACCGGAACCAGAGAGCCUUUAGGAAGGAGCCGAGGGUCUACGAGGAGAAAUCGGGGACGACCUUUAUUUAGCCUGAUUAGCCUGGGCUAAAGCAUCUAAAGACCCUAGGAUUGCUGUAGGUCAACAGUCCCCACUGGAGAAAAAAAUUUUGAAUCUAGGUGGCUUGCAUACAACAGCAGCAAGAAGACUGAUAAUUCAGAAAUACCAAGAAGAGUAUGAAAUGCUUUAUAAGGAGCAGGCUGUCUCUCUUGACUACUGGCUUGCCAAAGCAGAGUCUUACUAUAAUAAAAGAGUAGUGGAGAUGAUGAAAGAACAACAGACAGACAGUGAAACCGAGGAGAAGACAACCCAAAGCAUCAUAGAGGGACAAAAACGGUGCUAUUUUGUACCUGAGAGAGAGCUGAAACACAUAGAGAGGCACAUACAUCGAACAGGAGGGGCCAGAGAACUUAGGAAUAAAACCUUAAGACAACUGCUUCGACCCAUCAGUGAAACAACACUCCCGAAGAUUGUGCUGGAAGAGCAUGGCAUGCAGAACCCACAGAGAAGAAAGCAGCUACAUGAGAGGGAGCAGAUACAAAUUAAAGAUCACCAGGAACGCAUGAUUCGAGGGAGAGAACUUGUAGAGCAAAGACUCAAGGAAAGGCUCUUGAAAAUAAACCAGAGCCAGUCACCUACACAUGAGAAGCACGGGAAAGUAAAGAAAGAGAUAAAAGAGUUUGAAAGGGUUACUGCAUAUCCUCUUUUCCAGCCCUGCCAUGCAAAUCUGAUUAAAGUAAAUAUUCUUAUGGAAAAGUCUCAGGAUAGAAAGGAAGAGAAUACAGUUAUAAAACCACAUAAAAGAAAGUUCUUAACUAUGCCACCCUUUUUGAGAAGUCAAAUAGGAAAAAUAAAAGAACGGUAAAGUUUCAGUGGUUUUUGUGAUAAAA